This 31492-nucleotide long non-coding RNA is filed under the name Zostera marina. RNAcentral's name for it is "long non-coding RNA (ZMAR_LNC002758)". The record is from RNAcentral. Lineage: Eukaryota; Viridiplantae; Streptophyta; Magnoliopsida; Alismatales; Zosteraceae.
UCAACAACGUCAAGAGGGUACUGAAGAAAUGGAAGACAUCAGAGGAUCAACAAAGGAAGAUGAUGGCUUAGCUGGAAGAGGAGGUCAACAAAGAUGAAAGUUUGCUUCAACAAACACCGUUUGAUGAAGCAAUUCAUGAUAGGUUAGAAGCCACAAAUAGGAAGAUAGAUGCCCUAACUAAAACGCAAUAGGAAAAUGCUAGACAAAGGAGUAGAGCCUACUAGUUGCACCUAGGGGAUAAGAAUACUAAGUUCUUUGCAGCCAUGACCAAACAGAGAAAAGCAUUAAAUUCUCUAUACAGGAUGCUAGGGCCAAAUGGGAGGGUAAUGGUGUCUAGGAGUGAGAUGGAGGAGAAGACCCUAGCACAUUUUAAGAACCUGUUUGCUGAAGGGGAGGAGAGCAUCUCUAGGGAAACUAGGAAUUUUACAAAGAGAGUAACACCACAACAGAACCUAGACCUAGAGCAAAUCCCUACCUAUGAAGAGGUAAAAAAGGUUGUAAUGAGCCUAAAUCCAGAUAAGAGCCCUGGUCCAGAUGGGUUUAAUGGAGCCUUCUUUAGGGCUUUUUGGACCAUAAUGGACAAGGAUCUAGUAAAAGCAAUACAAUCAAUUUUCGUAGGGGACCCACUCCUAAGGCAAGUGAACUCCACCUUUGUGACCUUAAUACCAAAAAUCAAAAAUCCUACUAGAUUGGAUCAAUUCAGACCAAUAUCAUGUAUUAAUACAACAUAUAAGAUCCUAUCUAAGGUCAUCACAAAUAGGGUGGUUCCAGUAGUAGACACCAUAAUAGACAACAACCAAACAGCCUUCCUCCCAGGAAGGCUAAUUGGGGACAAUUACCUACUAGCAACAGAGAUGGUGACAGGUUUUGGGAGGGGAAAUGGAGGGGCCAAUGCCGCUAUAAAGGUUGACCUAGCAAAGGCCUUUGACACAGUGAGCUGGGAGGCGAUAGAGGGUACAAUGGUAGACCUAGGAUUCAGCCAGAAGAUUGUGAGGAUAAUAAUGAUGUGCAUCACCACAUCAUCUCUGUCCUUCCUUGUAAAUGGCUCACCCACACCACAAAUCCAACCCAGGAGGGGAAUCAGACAAGGUGACCCCUUAUCACCCUACAUAUUUGCUCUAAUAAUGCAGAAUCUAACCAUUCUAAUCAAUGAGCGGGUAGCUAAGAAACAGAUUAGUACCUUUAAGAAACACAAUGUGAUGGGUAUAUCACACCUCAUCUAUGCAGACGACCUCCUUAUCUUUUGCAAAGCUAGGGAGGAGUCGUUCAAGUCGGUAAACGAGGUAUUCAGACUGUUUGAGGAAAGAACAGGGCUGAAGGUGAGUGAGCCAAAAAGUGAAGUCUUCUUCUCGAACUCCACCAAAGAGAAGGAAACCUUGCUAACCCAUCUAAAAUUCAAGGAGGGAGAGUUCCCCACAACCUACUUAGGUUUACCUUUGUCUCCUAGAAUACUAUACCAAAAGGACUGUGCACCUCUGAUAGAUAGGGUGAAUGGGAUGGUAGAGGGAUGGAAAACAAGACUACUAUCCCAUGCGGGCAGAGUUCAAUUAUACCAUUGGGGGAUAAUGGGAAUUUUUAAUUUUUGGAACAUGUCUAGCAGGCUCCCGGUGGAAACACUAAAGAAGCUACAAUCCAUUAUAUAUAGGUACAUAUGGAAUGGGAAACAGGAUAUGUCUUGGGCACAAAUGGUGCUACCCAAGAACGAGGGUGGGCUAGGACUAAGGAGCUAUCAUGAGUCGGCUGAGGCAGCCAGACUAACAAGAUUAGGAAGGAUAUGGUCAUCCCAAGACUCCAUAUGGGCCUCAUGGAUGAGGGGUAGAUACGUAGGUGGGAGGGGACUACUGAGCAUUAGUAAGCACCCAAGUUUAGACUCAGCUUUAUGGGCUGAAAUAAUUGACUAUAAAAAUGAAAUAGUGAAAACCUUAAGAUGUGAUCCCAACUACGAUUGUACUUGGGAGGGCAAAGGGACUUCGCUAACCUAUAAAAAUGCUUGGGACUCCGUGAGGGAAACAGAGGAGGUAGACAAUUACUGGGAGGGAAUUUGGACAACUAGUGUGAGAAAAUUCAGUAUGACACUUUGGAGAGCUAGAUGGUCCAAAAUCUCUAUGAGGGCAGAUUGGGCGGGUAGAAUGGGGGGAGAUGCCACGGAUUGCAUUUUAUGUGGGGGACCAUGGGAGUCACAAGACCAUGUGUUCUUUAAAUGCAAAUUCUCUAAGGACUUGUGGAAUUAUAUAUUAUCUGCGAAACCCCGUUUGAUUACAUGUGCAGGUCUAUCUUUAAAACAGGUUAUGGAUGAAGCACAAGCAAGAACAAAAAACUCAAUAUGCUGGGGAAUGACUUGGGCUUACAUUGCUGCAGUGGUGUGGGGGAUAUGGACAGAAAGGAACAGGAGGGUUCAUGAGGAUAGACGGACCAGGCCACAAGAGAUUGGGAGAAGACUAGUGGAAGAUAUCACCUCAACAUUCAUGCCGAGCAGGUACAAGGCAAUAGGGACAACUCAGGAACAAAGGAUGGCACAAGGCUGGAAUUGCGGGGGGGGAAAUGCCCCAAGUUAAUUGCUGUUUUAUUUUUGGUGUAUUUAAUUAAACUGCUUGUUGCAACUUAAAUUUGGUAGGAACAAAUAACAUGUAAUUGGUAGGCUAGCGAUAGGGGAGGGUUCAAUUAAAAAUAGAACCCAAACCUAUCAAUGGCAAAGGUCUAGCAUGUAUGGUACAUGGACUGAUCUAAAAAUCAUGUCCAUUAGGAACCCCUGGCCCAAUAGGGACAAGGAUCUUCCUAAGUCAUAGUAGAAACGAUAUGUGGAAUCACUUACAAAUUAGUGGACCGAAAGGUGAUGGCAGAGUUUUCCCUUGGAAAAGGAAAAGAGGCCAUGGGCACACCAGGGUUUUUACACUCCCCAUUGUCCAAGGCCCACUAUGUGAGAACGAUGAGGCAUAGAUCGUUAUAGGAACCAUUGAGUCAGUCCCCAAAGGCUUGGAAGAUUAGGCGAUCGUAAGAUCAAAUAAUUGGAUAAGCGCGGAGGGCGUGAGGUGGACCGUCUGUGGUCGCACUUCUUUUUUGUUAAGAUCUUUUAUAUUAUCAGUGAUUUUAACUCAAAAAAAAUUGGCUGCCACAAUUCGCCACAAGCCCAUGAACGCUUGGCUGCCACAAGCCCAUGUGAGAGUGAGAUAGAGGCGAUUGGGAGGGCGAUUAAAGGGCGAUCGUGUGUUCUUGGUUUCUUGCAGGUCUAGGAGUACGGCAGCACGGAGGGAGAGAGAAGAUUCCAGAGAAAUUUCAAAAUCAGGAUAUUUUACUAUUAAAUAUAUACUAUUUUCUAUUGUUUUUUAAAUUUUUAGGAUUAAACAUCACUGUUCAUUGUCCUCUUUCGCUGCAGGACACUCGUACUUCUUCUCCAUGGAGAACAUCUCCAUGGAGGUCGAUAAAGGCGGAGUUUGGACGGAGGUUAAUAGAAGGAACAAGGGAAGGUCUGGAGGGGAUUUUAAUCCGGUAGUUGGGACGCCGGCCAGAGGAGGAAGAGGUGGUCGCAGUCGCAGGGGCGGGAGGAGCUCUGUGCUGAAAACGCGAGGACGACGACAAGUUACGAACCCAUUCGAGGCUCUGACGCCGGAGGAGAAGGAGCGGGAAAUCAAUAGGCACAAGUGGGCGAGGCUCGCGGGGGACGGCUUCCUGCCGAAGGCUACGACGGAGGACGACGCUUGCAGGAGGGAACGGAUUCGGACAGGGAUGGGUUCACCGGAAGACGUAACUCUGCUGGAACUACAGCGCCGUGUACAUGCGGAGGUAAGACGCAACUCAAUGCUUGCAGGCGAUGGAACACUGUCGGGAACGAAAGACCAGUCGGAGAUUGAGAGAAGAGCAAGGGCGAGAGCCGGGAAAGCCACUGCCGAAGACAUCGCGGAGUUGGAAAAACAGAGGAUCGCAAGACGACAAUACGUGCAGAGGGCAAGGCUGGUUGACGAUGGAUGCCUUGGCCCUACUGGAGACAAUAUCGAAUUGCGGAGGCGAGCCAGAGUCAGGGAAGGCACCGCGAUACCAGAAGAUAUGACGGCCAUUGAGAACCAGCGUCGGGCAGCGAUGAUACAGAGGAUCGCGAACUUUAAGAACCCAUCGGUGCACAAAUCUUUCGCAUCUGUGUUGAAGCAGGCACCGGUGCUUCCAGAAGGAGUUACAACUGGACUGACCUACACGAAGCCUGCAGAACGAAAUGGGAGGACGGGGGCAUUACUGGGAGGGGAAUUAAUUAAGAAAUUGGAGAAGACGAGGUUCGCCGGAACGCUGCUGGUCCGGCGACUGGUUGACGAGAAGAUAUACCCACGCUUCGCGAGAAAUUUCAUCAAACAGGUAUGGGGAAUUAGUGGGGACCAAUUCGAGGUGCAGGUGAGGCAGUCCGGAGUGCUACUAAUCCAAUUCAGGCGGGGGGGAGACUACACGACAGUGAAGGACGCCGGCGACACUUGGAUGGAUGGGGUGUAUACGAUAGUGAGGAAAUGGACUGAAGGGAAGGCUAUGGAAAACGCGAAGGUCAAAACAUUGCCGAUUUGGGUAGGGUUACCGGAAUUCCCUGCGCAUAUGUGGUGCCAAGAGGUCUUCUCCACAAUCGGAAGUGUGUUGGGUUCGCCGGUAAAAACAGACGCACAUACGGCUAAAGGUUCAAACCCCAAUGGUGCAAAGUUACUGGUAAUUAUGGAGGCAACAGGGAGCUUCCCAACGGAAGUCCCAAUUUACAUUCAAGGGGACGGUGGGGUGGAGUCGGAGGAAACUUGCAGAGUCAACUAUCUGAAAAUGCCGCCGAUCUGCAAAAAGUGCAAUUCCUUCGUCCAUCAGGCGGAGCGUUGCAGAUUCGAGGAAGAGGCACCGGACGAAGUAGUCGGUGACCAGGAAGGGGCAAGGAGCAAAAAUCCGACGAUUGACGGAGAGAACAGCGAGAAAUCGAACGACGCAAACCGCUCUGAAACUCCCGCGAAGAACGACUCGGCUGGAGAAGACAGUCGACGUGGAGACGACGUGGCACAAAAACCCAAUCGGGAGGAGACAACUAAUGCUGAUGUGGCGAUGGGAACAAAUAGAAGAAGGCCAAAUCUUGAUGACGUGGACACAAGGGUCCUCAUAAAGGAGCUACAGAACCGGAUAUUAACAGAGCUGAUCGAAUCCGGGCAGGCGGAUAAGCAAGCGGGCGGGGAAGAUCCAUAUAGCGAGAUUGGGGAAGAAAAUGGAAGUAUAUACCAAUCAAUAUGUGGAAAAGUCAACAUGGGCAUAACCGGACCCGGGUCGGGCGGGCAAAUCGAACUAAAGGAAACCCAAUUAGAGAACGAUGGAGAAGAAACAGAGGAUUUAAGAAACAGGGCACUUCAGAGCAAGAAGGGGAAGGAGGAAGAUGAUGUUCCAGGGGAAGACCGUACAAUGAAUUGCCAGCGGAGGAGGAAGAAAAAGUUUCACGCUAGCAAGGACAAGCUGCAGAGAGAAGAUUCUCCACACUGUACGAUGGUGCAAACGCUAGCGGAAAGGAGGAGCGGGAUAGAAAACCAGGGUGGAACCCAACGUGAAACAGUGCAAGUCACCUCUGGGAAAAAGAGAACACGCGGUACGGAGGAUAUGGGAAGAGAGGACGUCGACGAUAAUGCAGAAUUCGUAGAGAUGGACAGUACAUCGACGGAUUUGAUCGUUAUACCAGUCGACGGUGACCUGGCAAAAUACGGAAGGAAGAAGAACGGUGAGGAAGACGAGUGCAGUGGAGUCAAUUAUUUAUUAAGGGGGGGGGGCUCUUAAAUAAAUUUCACAUGCCAGGCCUGAUCAGUCUGAACCAAUUCGGCAAAUCGAAAAUUCCAGGUCAGGUGCGUCUAAAUAAACACAUUUAUGGUCUGGACCAAUUGAGAUCAAUUAAGCUCUGGGGUGAGAAAAUAAGGUUCAGCCAAGAUCAAGUAACUACUGCAAGUGAAAUGCCAAGACUAACCCCGAGUCAACGAGUGGACCAAGGGGCAGAACAGACAAAAUUAGUUGGAAAGGAGGACCCGAUAACGUUUAAAGCGCAACCCAAAUCCAAAGAGGGGAAACUCAGAAAGGGGGAAGGAUUGAAAUCGAAAAGGGGAAGCGGUAGGAACCCGACCCGACCGGAGACCCGAAUAGCUGAACUUAAAAUUAAAAAGAAAACAGAGAUAUUGCCGGCAAGCGGAGGAAGGUACAGCACAGACUUAAGGAACCAGUCGCCGAUGACCACCAGGGCGGCGGCCAGCAACAAGAAAGUAGUGCAAACCGAGGACGCGUUGUCAAUGAUCCAAGACGCAUUGGAAUUGUCCACGCCGGUAACCAAUUUGGUGAAGAGAAAUAGAUCGCCAAGAAUCCCCAGUGGUGGGUUGCGGAAGAAACACAGGGAGAGCGACGAAACAGAGGAAAUAAUGGCGGAGGAUGAGCACGAGGGAGAACAACACCAGAUUGAGAAGCUCGGGGAAGUGAUCUCGCUACAGCAGAAUGGUGAAUUAACACCCAAUCGGGAAAACAGUCAAUUAAGCAAGGAUACAGAGCAACGGCAGGAUCGAUCUGGGAAAGCUCCAGGAACCCAUACGUCGACUUCGAGAGGUAAAAAAUUAUCUAAAAAUAAAUCCAAACAGAAAGCAAGGAGAGAAGUGGAGCUAGAAGCUGGGGCAUCUGCGGAGAAGGAGAUAUCGAUGAAGACCAGAGAAGACUAUCUGCUCAAUCCUGAACGACUCACGAACUGCAUAUCGGACAGACUGUCGGGAGCUCUAGAUUUUGCGGAGGAAGUCGGGAAUGAUGACGUCUCUGAUGGGGAAUAUGAGAUAGGCAGAAUUGUAUGGGACAAGCUGCCGGGAGAUGCGAUUACGAGAGAGGAGCAAAUUCAGGGUGAUAGUGGCCAGCUGGAGGAGUUCCGGCGAGAUCCAACCACCGUCUAAAAGCUCUGUUCCGACUUAACCACCAGGGGUGGGGUGAGUGGGGGAGGUGAGAUAAAUUAAAUAAAUUUAAUUAAGCUGAAAUUAGGAGAGAGUGAUUAGUCAAAUUAAAGUUAAUUAAUAAUCUGCUGAUUAGGUAAGCAAAUAGAGGUUAGUAAAAAUAAUUUAACCAAUGACUUACGAAAUGGGGGGAAAAUAUGGGAAAAUUGCAUGCUAUGAUUGGGGGGGGUAUGAGAGAGAUGCUUGUGGAUAAGAAUGAUAAAAUAAAAACAAAAAUAAAAAGGCUAAAUACAAUUAAAAAAGUCUGCACAUGGGCCAAAAUGAGGGGGGAGAAAAGGUAUGCACGUGGGCAAAAACCAAUUGGGUAAAAAAACAAUAAUAAGAAUAAAAACUGCAAUUAAAAAUCCUUGCACGUGGGUUUUAGUAAUGGUAUACAAGCACGUGGGUAGGGAGGGGCAACCAAAGAAAAAUGCUAGAAACUGGCCCAAUUGCACCAAAUGGGCAAUGGUCCACAAAAUUAAAAAUUCACUAUACAUGAACGUGGGGGUGGAAACCAUAAACGAAGAAUUGAAUAAAAAACAUUUGAUAUUCCUAGAUAAGCAAGUGGGGUGCAUAGAGAAAUCCAUUAUAGUGUGAAUGGGUCUAACCAACUCUUCAGAGUUGGGCAAGACCAAACCCCACACAAAAAUGGAGAUGGGCCUAAUCCAAGGGGGGAUGGAAAUGCAAGGGGGCAAAGGCAAAAACUUAGGAGACCUAACCAAAUUAGCAGAACUCAGAAUUUGGCCAAAAGUCAAAAUUGGCCGAAUUUGACUAGAAGUCAAACGAAUUUGACCAAUAAUCAAACAACAAUUUUGCCUAAGAGUCAGCGAUAUUGGAGAUGGGGUUUGUGCACUAUGGCUCCCGACAGUCAAAAUGGACAAUCCCUUACCACCCAAAUUCCCCAGAGUUUGAUCAAAAGUCAAAAUCAACCAAUUUUGGCCAAUAGUCAAAAUCAACUGAUUUUGACCAAUAGUCAAAAUUGGAGCUUGGGCAAGAGGCAAACCCGGGAUGAUACUACCCACCCGGUAGUGACCCGACAACGACCCAAUAGUGACCCGACUGGGACCCGUUAGCCAACCAGAACAAAAAAAAUGGUCAUCGAUACCACACCAAACCCUAGGCACACUAACAGACCCGACACAGACCCGAUAAACAAAAAGGCACCAAAAAUAAAAUAAAUAAAAUAAAAUAAAAACAAUAAAUGUCGUUUGGGAGCUGGAAUGUGUAUGGGCUGAAUAGUGACCUAAGGAAGAAUGCGGUAAAGAAGUUUGUGAAAAAACACAAGUUGGACCUCUUUGGACUUUAUGAAACUAAAAUCAUGAAGAAGAACUUCCAACAUAUCAGUAAGAUAUUUGGACAGAAAUUUUCGGUAAUAUCAAACAGAGAACAAUCUGACCCUAGGGCAGACUCUAUCUGGAUGGUAUGGGACACUGGUCUUUGGGACAUAGAAGAUCCAAUUCUACACGACCACUACAUACAUUGUUUUGCAAAAAACAAAGGGGGGUUCAAUAUAAACAUAACCAUGGUGUAUGCAUCGUCAGAUUACCAGGUGAGGGAGGAAACAUGGAGGGACCUAAAAACACUAAGUAGAGCCAUUAGGGGCCCAUGGAUUGUCCUUGGCGAUUUUAAUGAGGUUAGGAAUAGGGAAGAUAGGAUUGGAAAGCAUGCGGUUGUAAAAAUGCCCCACAUAAGACAAUUUAAUAAAGACCUAAAUGAAGCAUGCUUAAAAGAAAUUAUUAUAAAUGGCAACCCAACAACCUGGCAUAAUAAAAGACAUGGAGAACAUAGGGUCUGCAGUAGAAUAGACAAGGGCUUUGGAAAUACUGAACUGUUUGAUCUAUGGCCGGACAUCAGACUGGAUAGCCACUCAGGUGGAUCAUCCGAUCACCGUAGUCUAACCAUGGACCUUAGGACGGUGCAGGAGAAGAAGAAGCCCUUUAGAUUCACCAACUUAUGGUUAAGGAAGGAAGAACUGAAGGGGAUAGUACAAGAGGCAUGGCAGAUAGAUGUCUGGGGCACGCCGAUGUACAUUUUCACAAAGAAACUCAACAACGUCAAGAGGGUCCUGAAGAAAUGGAAGACAUCAGAGGACCAACAAAGGAAGAUGAUGGCUCAACUAGAGGAGGAGGUCAACAAGGAUGAAAGCUUGCUUCAACAAACACCGUUUGAUGAAGCAAUCCAUGAUAGGGUAGAAGCCACCAAUAGGAAGAUAGACGCCCUAACUAAAACACAAGAGGAAAACGCUAGACAAAGGAGUAGAGCCUACUGGUUGCAUCUAGGGGAUAAGAAUACUAAGUUCUUUGCAGCCAUGACCAAACAGAGAAAAGUACUAAACUCUCUAUAUAGGAUGUUAGGGCCAAAUGGGAGGGUAAUGGUGUCUAGGAGUGAAAUGGAGGAGAAGACCCUAGCACACUUUAAGAACCUGUUUGCUGAAGGGGAGGAGAGCAUCUCUAGGGAAACUAGGAACUUUACUAAAAGAGUAACACCACAACAGAACCUAGACCUAGAGCAAACCCCUACCUAUGAAGAGGUAAAAAAGGUUGUAAUGAGCUUAAAUCCAGACAAGAGCCCUGGCCCAGAUGGGUUUAAUGGAGCCUUCUUUAGGGCCUUUUGGACCAUAAUGGACAAGGAUCUUGUCAAAGCAAUACAAUCAAUUUUCGUAGGGGACCCACUCCUAAGGCAAGUCAACUCUACCUUUGUGACCUUAAUACCAAAAAUUAAAAACCCGACUAGAUUGGAUCAAUUCAUACCAAUAUCAUGUAUCAAUACAACAUAUAAGAUCCUAUCUAAGGUCAUCACAAAUAGGGUGGUUCCAGUGGUAGACACCAUAAUAGACAACAACCAAACAGCCUUCCUCCCAGGAAGGCUGAUUGGGGACAACUACCUACUAGCAACAGAGAUGGUGGCAGGUUUUGGGAGGGGAAAUGGAGGGGCCAAUGCUGCUAUAAAGGUUGACCUAGCAAAGGCCUUUUACACAGUGAGUUGGGAGGCAAUAGAGGGUACAAUGGUAGAUCUAGGAUUCAGCCAGAAGAUUGUGAGGAUAAUAAUUGAUGAAGCACGGAAUCUGCUACCAGUAGGCUCGCGGGGUUGCGAGGAGGGCCGGAGGCUUUGGAGUCCACGACGCGCGCUCUACGUCAAUGUACCUGCAGAAGAGGAGGGGAAUCGGCGACUCACGUGGGAGUAGGCGAUUCGGGCUCCUUAGUUUGCUCUGGUUGGAGUGUGUGUUGUCAAGAUGAGUUGAGGGUAGAGGUCCACCAAGGACCCCUUUUAUAGGGUCCUGGGGGACGUUUUCCCCAUUCAUUAGCGUGGGGCCCACCCCAUUAAGGUAUCCUAUUAAGGAAUGCCUUAAUGGCGAGGGUCCGCUCAAGUAACGGCUGGGAGUCGGCGAUUCAGGUGUGGGAAUCGCCGAUCCAGAGGUUCAAUCGCCGACUCCCCAUGAGCCUAGUGGCAGCCUACCAGAACUGUCCACAAGGCCUAGAGUUAGCGAUUCACCCCUGGAGUCGGCGACUUGGUAGUCCCAAUCGGCGACUCCCAAGUGUUAACUUGGGCUCUUGACGUAGACACGUGCUCCGCACCGUGGAAGCCUUUCCGGGGGUCCGGCAUAUAGCGACGGAACCCUAUUCCUUGUUUGAAGGGCGUUGCUGGGAGUGACUGACGUAAUCAGGCAUGUCUCACCAAUAAUGAUGUGCAUCACCACAUCAUCUCUGUCCUUCCUUGUAAAUGGCUCACCCACACCACAAAUCCAACCCAAGAGGGGAAUCAGACAAGGUGAUCCCCUCUCACCUUACAUAUUUGCUCUAAUAAUGCAGAAUCUAACCAUCCUAAUCAAUGAGCGGGUAGCUAAGAAGCAAAUUAGUACCUUUAAGAAACAUAAUGUGAUGGGUAUAUCACACCUCAUAUAUGCAGACGACCUCCUAAUCUUUUGCAAAGCUAGGGAGGAGUCAUUCAAGUCGGUGAAUGAAGUAUUCAGAGUGUUUGAGGAAAGAACAGGGCUGAAGGUGAGUGAGCCAAAGAGUGAAGUCUUCUUCUCGAACUCCACCAGAGAAAGGAAACUCUACUAACUCACCUAAAAUUCAAGGAGGGAGAGUUCCCCACAACCUACCUAGGGUUACCUCUGUCUCCUAGAAUACUUUACCAGAAAGAUUGUGCACCGCUGAUAGAAAGGGUGAAUGGGAUGGUAGAGGGAUGGAAAACAAGACUACUAUCCCAUGCGGGCAGAGUUCAAUUAUACCAUUGGGGGAUAAUGAGAAUUUUUAAUUUUUGGAACAUGUCUAGCAGGCUCCCGGUGGAAACACUAAAGGAGCUACAAUCCAUAACAUAUAGAUACAUAUGGAAUGGAAAACAGAAUAUGUCUUGGGCACAAAUGGUGCUACCCAAGAAGGAGGGUGGGCUAGGACUAAGGAGCUACCAUGAGUCGGCUGAGGCAGCCAGACUAACAAGAUUAGGAAGGAUAUGGUCAUCCCAAGACUCCAUAUGGGCAUCAUGGAUGAGGGGUAGAUAUGUAGGUGGGAGGGGACUACUGAGCAUUGGUAAGCACCCUAGUUUAGAUUCAGCCUUAUGGGCUGAGAUAAUGGACUAUAAAAACGAAAUAGUGAAAACCCUAAAAUGUGAUCCCAACUACGAGUGUACUUGGGAGGGCAAAGGGACUUCGCUAACCUAUAAAAAUGCUUGGGACUCCGUAAGGGAAACAGAGGAGGUAGACAAUUAUUGGGAGGGAAUUUGGACAACUAGUGUGAGAAAAUUCAGUAUGACACUUUGGAGAGCUAGAUGGUCCAAAAUAUCUAUGAGGGCAGAUUGGGCGGGUAGAAUGGGAGGAGAUGCCACGGAUUGCAUUUUAUGUGGGGGACCAUGGGAGUCACAAGACCAUGUGUUCUUUAAAUGCAGAUUCUCUAAGAACUUGUGGAAUUAUAUAUCUGCAAAACCCCGUUUGAUUACAUGUGCAGGUCUAUUUUUAAAACAGGUCAUGGAUGAAGCACAAGCAAGAACAAAGAACUCAAUAUGUUGGGGAAUGACUUGGGCUUACAUUGCUGCAGUGGUGUGUGGAAUAUGGACAGAAAGGAACAGGAGGGUUCAUGAGGAUAGACGGACCAGGCCACAAGAGAUUGGGAGAAGACUAGUGGAAGAUAUCACCUCAACAUUCAUGCCGAGCAGGUACAAGGCAAUAGGGACACCUCAGGAACAAAGGAUGGCACAAGGCUGGAAUGGCGGGGGGGGAAAUGCCCCAAGUUAAUUGCUAUUUUACUUCUGUUGUAUUUAAUUAAACUGCUUGUUGCAACUUAAAUUUGGUAGGAACAAUAAUAACAUGUAAUUGGUAGGCUAGCGAUAGGGGGGGUUCAAUUAAAAAUAGAACCCAAACCUAUCAACGGCAAAGGUCUAGCAUGUAUGGUAAAUGGACUGAUCUAAAAUCAUGUCCAAUAGGAACCCCUGCCCCAAUAGGGACAAGGACCUUCCUAAGUCUUAGUAGAAGCGAUAUGUGGAAUCACUUACAAAUUAGUGGACCGAAAGGUGAUGGCAGAGUUUUCCCUUGGAAAAGGAAAAGAGGCCAUGGGCACACCAGGGUUUUUACACUCCCCAUUGUCCAAGGCCCACUAUGUGAGAACGAGGAGGCAUAGAUCGUUCUAGGAAUCAUUGAGUCAGUCCCCAAAGGCUUGGAAGAUUAGGCGAUCGUAAGAUCAAAUAAUUGGAUAAGCGCGGAGGGCGUGAGGUGGACCGCUUGUGGUCGCACCUCUUUUUGUUAAGAUCUUUUAUAUUAUCAGUGAUUUUAACUCAAAAAAAUUGGCUGCCACAAUUCACAAGCCCAUUCCCAACUUUUCCAUCCAAGAGAGAGUGAGAGAGGGCGAUCUUGAGGGCGAUUUUUAGGCGACCUACUCUUUUGUUUGCUGUUUUGCAGGUCUUGGAGCAUCUAGGCAGGAAGUAGGGGUGCAAUCUAGGUGGAGAGAGAAGAAAAUUUUGGAUUCUAGUGCUAGAAACCUAGGAUUUUCAAAAAGAUUCCUUAAAACUAGGUACUUUUAUUACUACUUUUUCUUCCAACCCCUACUGUUUUGCAGGCCAUGGGGGAGACCUCCAUGGAGGUUGAUGAAGGUCCAGAGUGGAUGGUGGUCGGAGGGAGCAAGGCUGGCCGGUCGGAUGGAAAAUCUGGCCGGAUAGAAAGACUUAGCGGCAACAAUAAUGGAGGUGCUCCAUUUUCUGGAAGAAGAGGAGGUCGGGGAGGCUACCAAAGGAGCUCCAGACCAGUUCAAGGCAACCCACAACCCAACCAGACCUCGCCGGAGGAGAAACAAAGGUUAGUGGACAGGUACAAAUGGGCUAAACUAGCCGGUGAUGAUUAUUUGCCAAAGGCGAUGGAUUUGUGUGACUUGGAAAGAAGGGAGAGGGUGAGAAACGGAAUGGGGUCACCUGAGGACCUCACUGCCAUGAAAGAACAGAGGAAAGCUCAUGCUGAGGUGAGGAGAAACUCAAUUAAAGCUGGAGAUGGUAUGCUAUCACCAACAACAAAUGCGAUGGAAAUUGCAAGGAGGGCUAGAGCUAGAGCGGGCAAAGCAACAAAAGAAGAUUUGGAGCUUUUGGAAAAACAGAGGAAAUUGAAAGCAGAGCAUCUGAAGAAUGAAAGAGCUCUGAAUGAAGCCACCUUGGGUCCAAUAAUUGACAAGGAGGACUUGGAGAGAAGGAGAAGGAUCAAGGAAGGCAAUGCCACACCCGAUGACAUGCAAUUGGUGGAAAAUCAAAGAAAAUUGAACUUGGGGAAAAAUUCAACACCACUGGCCGGAGGAGGUGCUAGGAGCUUUGCAUCCCUACUGAAACCAGCCCCCACAUUGCCGGAGGGAGUUACAACAAAAUUGAGCUAUGUGGAGCCAACAACAAGGAAUGGAAGGAGGGGAGCGAUGAUCAAACAAGAUUUGAUCAAGAAAAUUGAGGAGAAAUUUGCUGGAACACUACUGAUCAGGAGGCUCACUGAUGAGAAGAUUGACCCAAGGUAUGCCAAGAAUUUUGUUAAAUAUUGUUGGGGAGUGGAGGGAAACAUGUUUAAUAUCUAAAUUAGAAGAUCGGGUGUGAUCCUCAUACAAUUCCGGAGAAGGGAAGAUUAUCUAAAAGUGAGGCAGUCCGGGGACACAUGGAUGAAUGGAGUGUACACAAUUGUGAUGAGCUGGGUGGAAGGAAGAUCAAUUGAAAAUGAGAUCAUCACAAGCUUGCCGGUAUGGAUCCACCUACCGGAAUUCCCAAUGCACCUAUGGUGCCCGGAGGUAUUUUCAGCAAUUGGGAGUGUUCUAGGUACUCCGGUGAAGGCAGAUGCUCACACAACAAAGGGGCCCAAUCCAAAUGGUCCUAGGCUACUGAUCACAAUGAAGACAGAUGGCCAAUUCCCACUAGAAGUCCCAAUUUACAUGACCGGAGAGGAUGGCAAUGACACCGACGACAUCAUCAAAAUUGCAUAUGUAAAAAUGCCAAUUGUAUGCAACAAAUGCAAAGGAUUUGGACACACUCAAGAAGCAUGCAGAGGGCUGGAAUCAGGGUAUGAAAAAAAUAAAAAAUUUAUACCUAACAAAAAUUCUCAGGUGAUCACCGGAGAAGAUGACCAAAAGGUGGUGGAAAUAUUGAGUGGAGAAGAAGAUCAAGUGGAGAAGAAGGGUGAGCUGGAAUCCAUGAACGUGGGUGGCACAGGGAAGGAUAAUGAGCUGGAGGUAGAGGGGGAGAAGGAAGAGGGUGAGAUCACCAAUGAAAAAAUGGUUAAUGAUAAGCAAAUGAAGAAUCAAGACAAAGUAGUGUUGAAAAUGAGGAAGCUUAGCAAAAGAUCAAAGAAAAAGAAGAAAUUAAUCAAAGCUAGGAAGGGAGUAGACUUGUGGAAGCUGGCAAGUCAGAGGAUAGGAAGAUAUGUAAGGGAUUUGGCAAGUACAAGGCGUGGGAAACAAAAUGAAGAGAAAGUACUAGCGGGUGGUGACCUCACCCCGGGUGGAGGUAAGAAUAGUGUUACCUACACUAACAAUGGAAUAACAUGUGAUAUAGGUGACAUUGCUAAUACAAUGGGAAAAAUUCCAUAAGGAGGAAACCCACAUCUACACGCCAAUGACUCAAUAGAAGAUGAGGAGGAGAAUAGAGCCGUUGGGAAGGAGGCAAGUACAACAUGUGACCAACUAGAUGGGCAAAGAGAAGAAAGAGAAGGACAAGGACAAGGGGAAGAAGUGCACAACUCCCAAAUGAACAAGAGUGGGUCUACAAACCCUAAGAUGAUGGCUGACAUCACAAUGGAGGUACAAGGAGAGUCACCCAAAGAUGCUUGUACGGACAAGCCAAAAUACUUCUUCCAAACCCUAGCGGCGGAUCUAAUGGAGAAAGGUGCACCCAAAGACAUCCGUAGGAUCAACAUAUAUGAUCAGCCAGGAUCCUCCCUUGGGGAAAAAAUAAAGAAGCUAGACUUGAAGGACCGGAUCAUAAAAGAGAAGGUCAAAACUAGGAAUGAAAACAUUAGAAAGGGAUAUUUGCCCACACAAAAGGCAAUACUGCCCUUUUGCAAAGGCUAUGAUGGGACCAAAUUCCAGGGGGCAAUUGAGGGAUUUGAGGGUGAAUAUAUAUCAAAAAACACUCUUCCAAACUUCACAUUCCAUGAGUUGGCCGACCAAGAGGAGAGGGAGAAUGGAGACUCACAACCAAGCAUCCAACAACCAUUGGAACCCACUGCCCAAGCUGAGGCCACCACUUCACCCAUCACACACACUGAGAGUGACAACAAUAUGGAGGAUAAAAUCAGUGGGAGAACUAGAAGUGGAGGCAAAGGGAAGGUGUUGAAGAAGGUGGUCGGAUAUGGUAGAAGAAGAAAGCCAAAGAGGGUUAGAGCGACUGCCCAAGUGAAUAUAGGUGCACCAAGGAAGAAGAGAAGAGAAUCACAGGAGGACAACUCUGAAUUAUCCACAUAUGAGUGCCCACCCAUCAUCGGAGAAGACAAGCUCGCCGGAGAAGACAAGCUCACCGGAGAAGACAACCAACUAUCAAUUGAGCUCAAUUGUGAAAUUCAGACCCCUCAACAACAAAAACAGGAUAAACAGAGCAAGAGCACGGGUUAUUCCAAGAGGAGGCAGGAAGGAACACAAACAAUUCCAACAAGAACCAAGAGAAUUUCCAAAAAGAAGCAAAAGGUGAUUUAAAGGAGGGCAACAGAAGAAGAGCUCCAACAAACCAAUUCAAGCAACAACAAUUCAGGUAAAAACAGGAAGGACUACUUAAUUGAACCAGGGAAUUCAAGCAAUGAAGAUGAAGGGGAAACCCAAUUGAUUGAAUCGGAUCCAAUGGAGGAGAGUGAGGAAGAUGACACGGAAGACGAGGAUUAUGUACUUGGAAGGGCAGAGUGGUCCAGGUCACCUAUGCAGGAGGAUGACAAGGGUCGAGAGGGAGACAAGGAGGAGGAAUCUACUCAAUAAUAAAAACAAAAACAUAAAGGUAGGAAGGAAGGGAGGGGGGCACAACAAGCAACAAGGAAGGUACAAGGGAGGUAACUUUAAAAUAAAAUUUUAGUAUAUAUUACUUUGUACAAAUUGUGUAAGAUAAAAUCAGGGAAUACAUCCUAGCUUGCCAUCUAGGGGAAUUAAAUAGAUUGCCAUCUAAGGAAAAUUCUAGCUUGCCAUCUAGGGAACUAGUUUGACAUCUAGGUAAAAAAGAAAUUAAAAGAGAACAAGGAAUAUAUAAACUCUGAGAGCUACUCCCAGCCCUUGGAGCAGCUCAAGAACCAUAUUAGGAACUCAGUUAGUGACCCUAGCUGGCCCCCAAAGCAAAUCUUAGAAAACCUCAAGAGCCAAUUCCAGCUCCUGGAGUUGCUCGCGAGCUGCCCUAGGACCCGAGAACUAGUCCCGAGCUGGCUCGAGAGCUACCUCCAACCCCUGGAGUUACUCGAGAGCCACAAGAGGGACUUAACUAGAGAUCCUACUAGGACCAAAAAACAGCCCUCAGAGAAUCCCAAGAACCAACUCCAGCCCCGGGAGUGGUCCGUGAGCUACUUCAAGACCCGAGAACUAGCCCCGAGCUGGCUUGCGAGCUACUUCCAGCCCCUGGAAUUACUCGAGAGCCAAUGGAGGGACAUAGCCAGAGAUCCCAAUAGGGCCCCGCAACUAGGUCUAGAGAAGCUCAAGAUCAAACUCCAACCCCUGGAGUUGCUCGAGAGCUACAUCAUGACCCGAGAGCUAGCCCCGAACUGGCUCGCGACCUACAUCCAUCCCCUGGAAUUACUCGAGAGCCAGUGGAGGGACUUAGACAGAGACCAUAAUAGGACCCCACAACUAGGUCUAGAGAGGCUCAAGAUCAAACUCCAACCCCUGGAGCUGCUCGAGAGCUACACCUUGACCCGAGAGCUAGCCCCGAGCUGGUUCGCGAGCCACUUCCAGCCCCUGGAACUACUCGAGAGCCAUACGAGGGACUUACCUGGAGAGCCCAAUAGGGCCCUACAACUGCACCUAGAGAAGCCCAAGUCCCAAUCCCAGCCCCUGGAGUUGUUCGAGAGCUACCUUAUGACCCGAGAGCUAGCCCCGAGCUGGCUCGCGAGCUACUUCCAGUCCCUGGAAUGGCUCGCGAGCUACUUUCAGUCCCUGGAAUGGCUCGCGAGAGAAGUGGAGCUGGAAGCGGGGGCAUCUGCGGAGAAAGAAAUAUCGAUGAAGACCAGAGAAGACUACCUGCUCAAUCCUGAACGACACACGAGCUGCAUAUCGGACAGACUGCCUGGAGCUGUAGAUUUUGCGGAGGAAGUCGGGAAUGAUGUGGUCUCUGAUGGGGAAUAUGAGAUAGGCAGAAUUGCAUGGGACAAGCCGCCGGGAGAUACGACUAUGGGAGAGGCGGAGCAAAUUCAGGGUGAUAGUGCCCAGCUGGAGGAGUUCCGGCGAGAUCCAACCCCUGUCUAAAAGCUCUAUCCGACUUAACCACCAGGGGUGGGGUGAGUGGGGGAGGUGAGAUAAAUUUAAUUAAACCGCAAUUAGGAGAGAGUGAUUAGUCAACUAAAAGUUAAAUAAUAGUCAGCUGAUUAGGCAAGCAAAUAGAGGUUAGUAAAAAUAAUUUAACCAAUGAAUUAUGAAAUGGGGGGGAAUGUGGAAAAAUUGCAAGUUAUGAUUGGGGGGUUAUGAGAGAGAUGCAUGUGGAUAAGAAUGAUAGAAUAAAAACAAAAAUAAAAAUGCUAAAUACAAUUAAAAAAGUCUGCACAUGGGCCAAAAGGAGGGAGAGAAAAGGUAUAGACGUGGGCAAAAAUCAAUUGGGAAUAAAAACAAAAAUAAAAACUGCAAUUAAAAAUCCUUGCACAGGGGUAAUAUUUUCCAAAACCCAAACAACUUUAGUACUUAUAUGCAUGCACGUGGGUAGGGAGGGGCAACCAAAGAAAAAUGCUAGAAAUUGGCCCAAUUGCACCCAAUGGGCAAUGGUCCACAAAAUUAAAAAAUCACUAUGCAUGCACGUGGGGGGGGACCAUAUAUGAAAAAUUAAAUAAAAAAUAAUGAUAUACAUAGAUAAGCAAGUGGAGGGUGCAUUUAGAAAUCUAUAGUGUGAAUGGGUCAAAUCAACUCUUUAGAGUUGGUCAAGACUAAACCCCACACAAAAAUGGAGAUGGGCCUAGGGUAGAUAGAAAUGCAAGGGGGCAAAGGCAAAAACUUAAGAGAUCUAGGCAAAUUGGUAAAUCUCAAUCUCAAAUUUGGAUCAAGGAGAGUCAACAAAUAGGGAACUGGAUUUUGACCAACAUGGAAAAUGGUCAACAAGGCCCCAUCUCCCAAUUACACCCAAUUUUGACUUCCGCCAACAGUCAAAAUAGCCAACCACCGAUUUUGACUAAAAACUCAAAUGUGACCAAAAGUCAAAACCCCCGGAUUUGGACCAAAACCCGAAAUGGUCUCAACAUAACCUGGCUAGCUGUGACAGAUGACAAGGUGGGAAGGUGGUUAAAUCACCCAAAACUUAACCAAGAUUAGUCCAAGAUGUCGUUUGGAAGCUGGAAUGUCUACGGACUAAACAUUGACAUAAGGAAGGAUGAGGUAAAGAGAUUUGUUAAGAAGUAUAAGUUGGACAUCUUUGGUCUAUACGAGACCAAGAUUAUGAAACGUAACUUUACACACUGUAGUAAGAUAUUCGGGCAGAAUUUUUCAGUGAUAUCAAACAGGACCGAUGACACAAACCAAAAGCCGGAUUCUAUCUGGCUAGUAUGGGAUGUAAGGAACUGGGAGAUUGAGAGCACCAUUCUGGACGAACACUAUAUACAUUGCGUAGCAAAGAACAAAGGGGGUUUUACAGUUCAUGUAACCUUUGUGCACGGGGCGUCAGAGAGCAACGAGAGGGAAGAGACGUCAGAGGCACGUCUGACCACCGUAGCUUGACCAUCGACCUCAGGGUAGUUGAAGAGGGUGGUGAGACAUGCCUGAGUUACACAAGUCACUACCCAUCAACGCCUCUCAACAAGGACUAGGGCUCCCUCGCUAUGGCAGGACCCCCGGAGAGCUCCCACGGUGCGGAACAUCGUUCUUCGUCCAGAUCGCCGAGUUAGCCCGUAAAAUCGCCCGAUUGGACUACCAAGUCGCCGACAUACAGGAUAACUCGCCGAGUUAAGGCAAGAUCGACAGUAUGGUAGACUGUACAUCUUGGCCCUAGAAACUCGCCGAGUUAGCCCUUAACUAGGCGACUUCCAUAAAUGAAUCAGCGACUUACGACCGUUACUCGGCGGCAGCCAACGUCAUAAAUGUUACCAUAUAUGACCAUAGGCGCGAUCUCCGCCGAUGAGUGCGCCCUCCGAGACCCUAUAAAAGGGGUCUCAAGGGGACACUCAAAGACACGAUUCAAGUUCCACUCUCACACCAGAGCACUACACUACGAAACUCGGCGAGUCUCAUUAGAAUCGCCUAGUUUCACUUGCAGGUAUUUUGACGUAGAGCGUGCGUCGUGGACUCCAAAGCCUCCGGCAUCAACCUCGCACCACCGCGAGCCCUGGUAGCAGAUUCAGUGCUUCAUCAGAGGGGAAGAGGCCUUUCAGAUUCACAAACUCAUGGCUAAGGAAGGAUGAGCUAAAAGGGGUAGUCAGGGAUGCUUGGCAAAUCGAGGUAUGGGGGACCCCGAUGUACAUCUUCACUAGGAGGCUGAACAAUGUGAAGAGGAUACUCAAGAGAUGGAAGACAUCAGAGGAUCAAGCAAAGAAGAGAAUCGCCCAAGCAAAGGCAGAAAUCCAAAAAAACGAGGACUUGUUGGAGGUAAGUCCAUUUGAUGAGGAUAUCCAUGUGAGGCUGGACGGAUGCCUUAAGGAUCUAGAAGGCCUGCUACAGGUGCAGGAGGAAGAUGCGAGGCAGAGGAGCAGGGCAAAUUGGUUGCGACUAGGGGGAUAAGAAUACAAAAUUCUUUGCGGCCAUGACAAGGCAAAGACAAACCCUAAAUUCCCUGUACAAAAUGUUAGGACCAAAUGGUAGGGUGGUGGUAUCUAGGAGUGAAAUGGAGGCAAAAACGCCGGAACACUUCCAGAUACUAUUUGCUGAGGGGGAGGAGACCUUAAGUACCGAAACCAGAAACUUCGUUAAAAAGGUUACGACCGAACAAAAUGCGGAAUUAGAGAGGAUCCCAACGUACGGUGAGAUUAAGAAAGUAGUUAUGGCGCUAAACCCAGACAAAAGCCCUGGUCCAGAUGGUUUCAACGGUGCCUUCUUUAAGGCCUUUUGGGACAUCAUAGACAAGGACCUAGUCAAAGCCAUACAAUCUAUCUUUCUAGGAGAACCCCUCCUGAGACAAGUAAACGCUACGUUCAUUACCUUGGUCCCGAAAACCAAGAAUCCCACAAGGUUGGAUCAGUUUAGGCCCAUAUCUUGCAUAAACACAACGUACAAGAUCCUUUCAAAAGUCUUAACGAACAGGGUGGUGCCAGUUGCAGAUACCUUGAUUGACAGCAAUCAAACCGCCUUCCUACCAGGAAGGCUGAUUGGGGACAAUUACCUACUAGCAACGGAAAUGGUUACGGGAUUCGGUAGGGCAAGUGGGGGAGCAAACGCAGCCAUAAAAGUGGACCUUGCAAAAGCAUUUGAUACGUGCGGCUGGCAGGCGAUAGAGGACACUCUUAGGGACAUGGGAUUCAGUGAAAUGAUCAUCAGGAUCAUAAUGAUGUGUGUGACCACAUCAUCAUUAUCAUUUCUGGUGAAUGAGUCGCCGACACCACAAAUACUGCCCAAAAGAGGAAUAAGGCAAGGAGAUCCCCUCUCCCCGUACAUAUACUGCCCAAAAGAGGAAUAAGGCAAGGAGAUCCCCUCUCCCCGUACAUAUUCUCAAGAGAGGAAUAAGGCAAGGAGAUCCCCUCUCCCCGUACAUAUUCGCAAGAGAGGAAUAAGGCAAGGAGAUCCCCUCUCCCCGUACAUAUUCGCUCUCUUAAUGCAAAACCUGACCAUUCUCAUAAAUGAGAAAGUGGAGAGGAGGCAAAUAAGUACUUUUAAGAAGCACAACGUGAUGGGGAUAUCACACUUGAUCUAUGCGGACGAUCUUUUGAUUUUCUGCAAAGCCAAGGAGGAUUCCUUCAAAUCCAUCGAUGGAGUGUUUAAAGUCUUCGAAUCUAGGACAGGUCUGAGUGUAAGUGACCCAAAGAGUGAGGUGUUCUUUUCAAAUUCCACAAAGAAUAAGGACCGAUUACUGACACGCCUAAGGUUCAAGGAAGGGACCUUCCCAACAACGUAUCUUGGACUGCCUCUAUCACCUAGGAUUUUCUACCCAAAGGACUGUGCCCCCCUAAUUGAAAGAGUCAAUAAGAUGGUAGAGGGUUGGAAAACAAGAUUGUUAUCUCAUGCGGGUAGGGUUCAGCUGUAUCACAGGGGUAUAAUGGGCAUAUUCAAUUUCUGGAAUAUGUCCAACAGACUCCCAGCGGAUACCCUUGAUGAAUUGAGAUCCAUCUCUUACAGAUAUAUGUGGAGUGGGAAGCAAGAUGUCCGAUGGGACCAGAUGACCCUUCCCAAAAAGGAGGGUGGACUGGGACUGAGGUGCUUCAGAGAGUCCGCUGAAGCGGCGAGGAUGAUAAGGUUGGGUAGGAUAUGGUCGGCAGAUGAUUCGGUCUGGGCAUCAUGGAUGAGGGGGAGAUACGUGGGUGGACGCGCUCUCAGAGAUAUAGAGAAGCACCCAAGCUUUGACUCGGCCCUAUGGGCUGAAGUAAUUGAUAAGAAGGAUGUGAUAGAGGGGAGUCUAAAGUGUGAGGCUGAUUAUAAUUGCAUCUGGGUAGGGAAAGGGACUUCCCUAACUUUCAAGAACGCUUGGGACUCCGUCAGGAAUACUGAGCCAAUAGACCACUACGGAGAGGGGGUGUGGACGACUAGUGUAAGGAAAUUCGGCAUAACAAUUUGGAGGGCCAGGUGGUCCAAAAUAUCCAUGAGAGCUGACUGGGCGGGUAGGAUGGGAGGGGAGAACACUGGCCACAUAUUAUGUGGGGGGCCAUGGGAAUCACAAGACCAUGUCUUUUUCAAAUGCAAGUUCUCCAAUGAUCUAUGGACAUAUAUUUUAAAUGCAAAACCCAGUUUGAUUACAUGUGCAUGUCUAUCUUUAGAGCAGGUCAUGGCACAGGCAAAUGCAAGGACGAAGAACUCACCAUGCUGGGGGCUGACGUGGACGUACACGACAGCGAUAGUAUGGGGAAUCUGAACCGAAAGGAACAGGAGAGUGCAUGAGGACAGACGCACGAGCCCACAGUUGAUAGGGAGGAGGACAGUACAGGAUGUAACAGCGACAUUCAAGGUGGACAAGUAUAAAGCAAAAGGUACGAGAAGGGAACAGAGAUGGAUGGAUAUAUGGACCGGAGGUGCCCAGUUGGCGAGAACGUGAAACUUGUUUAAUUCUUCAUAUUUGAUAUUGAGUCUGUAAUCGUAUUUUAAUAGGAACUUGUAUUAAGGGAAACAAAAACUGAGGUAUAUGGUGGGAUGGGGUUCAACUAAAAAUAGAACUCUGUCUUGCCAAAUACUAUGGGGGGACAAUUUCGUAAAUGGAAUGACCUAAAAAGUCAUAUCCAUAUAGAGCUCUAUCUCCCAGGGACUGGACUCUAUUAUUAAAGUAGAAACGAUAUGUGGAAUCACUUAUGUGUAGUGGACCUAAAGGUAAUGACAGAGUUUUCCCUUGGCAAAGGAAAAGAUGCCUUGGGCACACCAGGGUUUUUACACUCCCCAUUGUCUUAGGACCACUACGUAAGAGCGAUGAAGCAUAGAUCGUUCUAGGAAACAUCGAGUCAGUUUCCCAAAGGUUGUGAAGGCCCAAAUGAUCGUAAGAUCCGGGGUCGGAACAAUGCGGAGGGUGUGGGGUGGAUCGCAUGUGAUCACACUCCUUUUCUGUUACAGAAUCUAUAUUAUCAGUUGUUUUGUCUCAAAAAAAAAAUUGACUGCCACAAUUCACAAGCCCAUUCACAUAUUUUGAUCAAAAGUCAAAACAGACUCAAUCUGACGUUGACCAAGAACCAAUGGAGUGAAGACGGCCAAGGACUAGCUAUGACAGACGACAAAGUGGGAAGGUGGUUAAAUCACCCAAAAUUUAACCAAGACUAAUCAAAAAUGUCGUUUGGAAACUGAAAUGUUUACAGACUGAACAGUGACAUAAGGAAGGAUGAGGUAAAGAGAUUUGUCAAGAAGCAUAAAUUGGACAUAUUUGGUCUUUACGAGACCAAGAUAAUGAAGCGUAACUUUGCGCAUUGCAGUAAGAAAUUCGGACAGAAUUUCUCAGCGAUUUCAAACAGGACCGAUGACACAAACCUAAAGCCGGACUCCAUCUGGUUGGUAUGGGAUGUGAGGAACUGGGAGAUUGAGAGUUCCAUUCUGGACGAACAUUACAUACACUGUAUAGCAAAGAACAAAGGGGGUUUUACCCAACUCACGACGGUCUAAACCCAACUCACGUUCCCUAUUGGUGGGUGAACAAUCCAACACUUGGUGAAUUCUUCUUCACAAUGAUAGGAAGAGCAGACAUCGAAGGAUCAAAAAGCAACGUCGCUAUGAACACUUGGCUGCCACAAUUCAAAGGCGUUCAUCAAAGGCAGGUACAUUGGUGAUAAUUUUUCACUAACUACCGAAAUGAUUGCAGGGUUUGAUUGGGCAUAUUGGGCACCACGGGCGUGCAUUAAGGUGGAUAUUGCAAAGGCUUACGACUCUGUUGAAUGGGAUGCAUUGGAAGGGGCAUUGGCUGAUUUUGGAUUUGAUGAUGGUGCAGUCACAUUGAUUAUGGAGUGUGUGCGGAGCACAUUUUUUUCAGCAUUGGUCGAAGGGUGCCCAACCCAGGUAUUUAAAGCGGAAAGAGGUCUACGUCAAGGGGAUCCAUUAUCACCUUACUUGUUUACAUUGAUGAUGGAGAAUUUUUCGGUGGCCAUAGAUGAGAAAGUUCAGAAGGGGGCUAUAAAGUUGUUCAAGUGUCAUGGAAUGAUGGCGGUGUCACAUCUAGCAUAUGCGGAUGAUCUGUUGGUGUUUUGUAAAGCUAAUGUGGGGUUGAUUACAGAAAUUAGCAGAACGUUCAAUGAGUUUGCAUCACGAACUGGUUUGGAGGUGAGUCCAUCGAAAAGUGAGAUAUUUUUUUCUGGUGGCACCUCAAAUGGCGAUGAGUUGGCCAGGAUACUUGGAUGUGUUAUUGGGCAUUUUCCAACACGGUACUUGGGGUUACCUUUGGCACCUAGGAUGCUAACAACGAAAGAUUGUUUAAGGCUUGUUGAGGUGACGGUGAAUAUGGUGGCCAGGUGGAAGACAUGCAAUUUGUCUUAUGCGGGAAGGAUUCAAUUAGUAAGAUGGAGCGUCAUGGGAAAUUUCAUGUUUUGGUGUUCAUCAUGUCGGUUCCCGACGGAGGUAAUAAAGAGAAUUCGUUCUUUAGUUUUUAAUUUCAUGUGGGGUGGGAGGAGGGAAGUGAAGUGGGAAGGAGGGAUGGCGUUGCCGAAAGAUGAGGGGGGGAUUGGUCUUAGGGAAUGGGAGGAUGUGUACAAGGCAAUGGUAAUAAAGAGCGUCAACGGGUGUGGAGGUUGUGCAAUGAUGGGGAAUCAUUGUGGUGUCAAUGGAUGAGGAAGAGGUAUGAGGUUGUGGAGUUGGGGAGAGGUGGUGGAUAUGAAGGAGAUGAUAUUGACAUGCAUUGAUGGACUGGAUCAUUCAUGGAUUGGGCAUAGAACAUCCUUUUCAUUUAAGAAUGCAUGGGAGACGAUAAGGGGGAGGAAUGAGAAGGACACAUUUGCAAAAGGAAUUUGGUCGACUAAUGUGAGUAAGCAUGCGGUCUUCUUAUGGAGAGCAAGAUGGGGGAAGGUAUCAAUACAGGCAGUGUGGGCUGGACGGGAGAGAGUGGCUCAACCGGUGGUAACUACAUGCUUGCUUUGUGAAAGUGAGAUGGAGGAUAUGGAUCAUUUGUUUUUCAAGUGUGAAUUUUCAGGAAAGGUGUGGGAAGAGAUAGAGAAAUGGCUACAAUGGACUAGGAUGGAGUCCUUGGGUGUAUUGAUGGAGUUUGCAAACAAUCUCCCAAGUGAAUCACCACUUUGGGGAUUGGCAUGGGCACUGCUAGCCGCGUCUACUUGGCACUUAUGGGCAGAGAGGAACCGAAGGAAGCACGAGAGGAGAAGCUUGAGUUCUAGGGAGAUAGUCCGUCGAAUUGUCGAAGAUGUGAAGGUCUCCUUUGAGAUAGAAAGAUUCAAGAAAGACGUCGAGAAUCAAAGGCACAUGGAGAUUGUCCAGAGUUUUUUAAAGUCUGUUUUUUUAGCCUAAGUGUUUGUUUUCCUUUUUCUUUUUAUGCUAAGUGUUGUAAAGGGGGGUUAUGAUCAUAGUACGGGUUAGUUGGGAUGAUGGAAGGAUUUUCCCAAGAAAGAUGAAAGAGGAGCAAAAGUAUGGAUCCCACUUGGGUUUUUCAUCUUUCCAUUAUCCUAAGUAACUAAUGUUGAAUGGUAAAAAUUAGAACCUCUCGGAAAAAGGAUAAUCAUAGAAAUAUGUUAAGUAUAUGAGUUCGGUCAUCGAGUUGUAAUGGGUGGCUAGUAGGUUGGCUGGCAAUUUUGUGUGAGUCACCUAACCUUGUUUUUAUUGGUUGGAUGUACUUGUAAGCCUAAGGGCAAGUCUUUUUGACUCCGAGUUCUAGCAACGUAAGUAGCUAGAUCUCCUAUUUUGAAUGCAAUUUACCUGAUAGUGUUCAAAAAAAAAAUUGGCUGCCACAAUUCAUUUCUCUCUUUUUUCCUAAGUUUCAAUUCUUGGAGCUCCAAGAAAAUAUUCGAGAUUUUCAAGAUCGAGAUUUUCAAGAAUCCCAAGGAGAGCAAUCUAGCGAAUUUGGAGGAAGAUGAUUAGAUUUUACAUUCUCUGUUUUAGUUUGGCUCUUGCUUCUUCCUCUCAUUCGAAUGGAGGAGGGAUCGGGGAGGAUGUGGUUACAUAUGCGAGCAUUUUAAAGAAAAGCGUCGAUGAUCAAGUUAAAGAUGUAGAUGGGAGGCAAGAAGUUAAAGAAGUUAGUACGGAUCUUGAAUUUUUCCCGUCUACGAUUGUUAACGACGAGAAGUAUGGAGUUCUUGGAGCGGAUUGCUUCGAAGGGUUGUAAAAAGAUGGGGUGGAACGAUGGUGAUCCGUUUUGUAGGGAGGAAAUUUUACUCACAGUAAGUUGCGGCAUGCAUCAAGAGGCAAUGGGGGAUCGUUGAGGCUUAGAGGUGAAAGUUCGUCGCAGCGGGGUCUUUGUCGUUCAUAUCAAAGAUCUUAAAAAGUUUCGUAGGUCCAUGCUGAUUGGUGAUCAUUUUAUGAUGGAGCGCAUGCUCUUGUGCUACCGUGGAGUAGGGUGGUCGAGUUGGAAAAAAUGGUGGUUCGAAGGCUUCCGGUUUGGGUGACAUUACCUAUGCUCUGUUUUAGUUUGGCGAAUUUAGAGGAUGCCGAUUAUCCAUCGAUAGUGAAAAUCUUUGCAAAGGAUGAUGAUGACAUCGAAGAGUUACAUUCGAUUGAAGUGAAGUAUGUAGAUCCGCCUCCUAGGUGCUUCUAUUGCAAAUGUUAUGGUCAUUGGAGGUCAACAUGCUCGAGAAAAAAAAAGCUAAGGAGGUUUUUGCUGAUCAAGAUCCUCAAGAUGAAGAAAACAUUGUGGAUCACCAUACAUGUGAUGUAGAUCAUCAAACCCAAGAAGUGUUUGUGAGCAAAGUUAAACUCUGAUACCAUACAUGUGAUGUAGAUCAUCAAACCCAAGAAGUGGUUAUGAGCAAAGUUGAGCAAAGUUAGAAGUUAUAGGCCUCAUCAGGACAUUCACAUCAGAAUUUAAGCUCUGAUACCAUGCUGGAUGAAUCAAGGUUGGAUGAUGAUUGAGAGUGAUCCUUGGAGAGAAAAUGAAACAAGAUGAUAUGAUUUUGGACAAACAAAGAGUGAAUUGUGUUGUCUCUUAUGAUGUGUAUUUAUACACUUGAUUGUGUAACAAACUCCUGACAAAGUGAGUGGAGUUUGUCACUCAAGGAUAAAAAAUAUAAUUUAAAGUUAAUAAAAAAUAUUAAUAUAACUAACUAAUAUUCCAAUAGUCUGCUCCCUUGAAUUCUGAUUUCAUGGCGAUUAACUCAAUUAAAUUAUUUGAUCAUAAAAUUGGGACGGUUUGUGAUAACUUACAGACUUAUUCCCAAAAUCAUCUUGUUAGUGAUCAAACUUCACAUUCCAACAUAUGUCUGAUACGACGAUCAAGCCAAAUGAAACAAAUUUCCUGAUAUUGAGACUUAGCCGACCUAAUCUCUUUUGUUAAGCUAAUUAGGGUAAAACUAACCCUAAUUAGCUUUUCAACCAAGCGCGAUAACCAAUUGUGUGAAUCAAUGGUUCCUCUCGUACUAGGUUGAAUUACUAUCGCAGCACGAUCAUUAGUAGGGUCAAACUAACCUGUCUCACGACGGUCUAAACCCUGCUCACGCUCCCUAUUGGUUGGUGAACAAUCCAACACUUAGUGAAUUCUUCUUCACAAUGAUAGGAAGAGCCGACAUCGAAGGAUCAAAAAGCAACGUCGUUAUGAACGCUUGACUGCCACAACUGGGGGACACAACAAGCAACAAGGGAGGUACAAGGGAGGUAACUUUAAAAUAAAAUUUUAGUAUAUAUUAUUUUGUACGAAUUGUAUAAGGAAAAACAGGGAAUAUAUACUAGUUUGCCAUCUAGGAUAAAUAAAUAGAUUGCCAUCUAAGGAAAAUUCUAGCUUGCCAUCUAGGGAACUAGAUUGACAUCUAGGAAAAAAGAAAUUAAAAGAGAACAAGGAAUAUAUAAACUCUGAAAUUAAUACCACAGUACUAGGGCAUAGUUUAACAACUAGGGUUAAAAUCUCCGUUGAUUCCAACUUGUAAUAAGAAAGAUAAUAACAAUAGUGUGAAUCCAUCAAGUCACCCGAGUACAACUUCAAAAAUUGUAUUAGGGGUGGUACACUGAAAAUUCAGGGUACAACUGACAAAGUGGGUUUAACUAGGCUAAUCUAAGCCUAAGUACUGGUGGGAAAAUCAAUAAAAGGGAAAAUUUUCAUAUAGCCAAAAAUGAUGAAAAAUUGGCUAAGUGUAAAACAAAAAAUAAAAACGAUAAAAAUGAUAAGAAUGGAACAGGGAGCUGGUCUAAACAAGAGAACAAAGGGCAUAGAUACAUCUGCAUGCUUCAGCCUCAUAUACCAAGGGCAAGGGUGGCUCGUGAGCCACCCCUUCACCCAAGAUCUAGACCCAAAUGGGUUCGGGAGCUACUUCCAGCCCUUGGAGCAGCUCAAGAACCAUAUUAGGAUCUCAGACAGUGACCCUAGCUGUCCCCCAAACCGAGUCUUAGAAAACCUCAAGAGCCAAUUCCAGCUCCUGGAGUUGCUCGCGAGCUGCCCUACGACCCGAGAGCUAGCCCCGAGCUGGUUCGCGAGCUACUUCCAGCCCCUGGAACUGCUUGGGAGCCAGUGGAGGGACUUAGCCAGAGACCCAAAUAGGACCCCACAAAUAUGCCUAGAAAAGAUCAAGAUCAAAUCCCAACCCCUGGAAUUGAUCGAGAGCUACAACAGUACCCGAGAGCUAGCCCCGAGCUGGUUCGCGAGCUACUUCCAGCCCCUGGAAUUACUUGGGAACCAUGCGAGGAACUUAUCUAGAGACCCCAAUAGGACCCUACAAAUGCACCUACUGAAGUUCAAUUCCCACCCCCUGGACUUGUUCGAGAACUACCCUAUGACCCGAGAGCUAGCCCCGAGCUGGCUCGCGAACUACUUCCAGUCCCUGGAAUGGCUCGCGAGCUACUUUCAGUCCCCGGAUUGGCUCGCGAGCUACUUUCAGUCCCCGGACUGGCUCGCGAGCUACUUUCAGCCCCUGGAAUGGCUCGCAAACUACUCUAAGUCCCUGGAAUGGCUCGCGAGCUACUUUCAGUCCUUGGAUUGGCUCGUGAGCUACUCUAAGCCCCUGGAAUGGCUCGUGAGCUAUUUUCAGUUCCUGGACUUGCUCGCGGGCUACUUUCAGCCCCUGGAUUGCUCGCGAGCUACUUUCAGCCCCUGGAUGGGCUCGUGAGCUAUUUCCAGGCAUGGACCCGGGAUGAAACCACCUACCCGAGAGUGACCCGACAAGGACCCGUUAGCAAUUCUCAUCAAAACAAAUGGUCAGGGAUUCCACACCAAACCCUAGGUUCACUAACCGACCCGACACAGACCCGGUAAACAAAAAGGCAGUGAAAAUAAAAUAAAUAAACAUAAAAAUGUCUUUUGGGAGCUGGAAUGUGUAUGGGCUGAAUAGUGACCUAAGGAAGAAUGCGGUAAAGAAAUUUGUGAAAAAACACAAGGUAGACCUCUUUGGACUAUAUGAAACGAAAAUCAUGAAGAAGAACUUCCAACAUAUCAGUAAGAUAUUUGGACAAAAAUUCUCAGUAAUAUCAAACAGAGAACAAUCUGACCUUAGGGUAGAUUCCAUCUGGAUGGUAUGGGACACUGGUUUUUGGGACAUAGAAGAUCCAAUCCUACAUGACCACUACAUACAUUGUUUUGCAAAAAACAAAGGGGGGUUCAAUAUAAACAUAACCAUGGUGUAUGCAUCGUCAGACUAUCAGGUGAGGGAGGAAACAUGGAGGGACCUAAAAACACUAAGUAGAACCAUUAGGGGCCCAUGGAUUGUCCUUGGUGAUUUCAAUGAGGUUAGAAAUAGGGAGGAUAGGAUUGGGAAGCAUGCGGUUGUAAAAAUGCCCCACAUUAGACAAUUUAACAAUGACCUAAACGAAGCACGCUUAAAAGAAAUCAUUGUAAAUGGCAACCCAACAACUUGGCAUAAUAAAAGACAUGGAGAACAUAGGGUAUGCAGUAGAAUAGACAAGGGUUUUGGAAAUACCGAACUGUUCGAUCUAUGGCCGGACAUCAGAUUGGAUAGCCACUCAGGUGGAUCAUCUGAUCACCGUAGUCUAACCAUGGACCUUAGGACGGUUCAGGAUAAGAAGAAGCCCUUUAGAUUCACCAACUCAUGGCUAAGGAAGGAAGAACUGAAGGGGAUAGUACAAGAGGCAGGGCAGAUAGAUGUCUGGGGCACGCCGAUGUACAUUUUCACAAAGAAACUCAACAACGUCAAGAGGGUCCUGAAGAAAUGGAAGACAUCAGAGGAUCAACAAAGGAAGAUGAUGGCUCAGCUGGAGGAGGAGGUCAACAAAGAUGAAAGUUUGCUUCAACAAACACCGUUUGAUGAAGCAAUCCAUGAUAGGUUAGAUGCCACAAAUAGGAAGAUAGAUGCCCUAACUAAAACGCAAGAGGAAAAUGCUAGACAAAGGAGUAGAGCCUACUGGUUGCACCUAGGAGAUAAGAAUACUAAGUUCUUUGCAGCCAUGACCAAACAGAGAAAAGCAUUAAAUUCUCUAUACAGGAUGCUAGGGCCAAAUGGGAGGGUAAUGGUGUCUAGGAGUGAGAUGGAGGAGAAGACCCUAGCACAUUUUAAGAGCCUGUUUGCUGAAGGGGAGGAGAGCAUCUCUAGGGAAACUAGGAAUUUUACAAAGAGAGUAACACCACAACAGAACCUAGACCUAGAGCAAAUCCCUACCUAUGAAGAGGUAAAAAAGGUUGUAAUGAGCCUAAAUCCAGAUAAGAGCCCUGGUCCAGAUGGGUUUAAUGGAGCCUUCUUUAGGGCUUUUUGGACCAUAAUGGACAAGGAUCUAGUAAAAGCAAUACAAUCAAUUUUCGUAGGGGACCCACUCCUAAGGCAAGUGAACUCCACCUUUGUGACCUUAAUACCAAAAAUCAAAAAUCCUACUAGAUUGGAUCAAUUCAGACCAAUAUCAUGUAUUAAUACAACAUAUAAGAUCCUAUCUAAGGUCAUCACAAAUAGGGUGGUUCCAGUAGUAGACACCAUAAUAGACAACAACCAAACAGCCUUCCUCCCAGGAAGGCUAAUUGGGGACAACUACCUACUAGCAACAGAGAUGGUGACAGGUUUUGGGAGGGGAAAUGGAGGGGCCAAUGCUGCUAUAAAGGUUGACCUAGCAAAGGCCUUUGACACAGUAAGCUGGGAGGCGAUAGAGGGUACAAUGGUAGACCUAGGAUUCAGCCAGAAGAUUGUGAGGAUAAUAAUGAUGUGCAUCACCACAUCAUCUCUGUCCUUCCUUGUAAAUGGCUCACCCACACCACAAAUCCAACCCAGGAGGGGAAUCAGACAAGGUGACCCCUUAUCACCCUACAUAUUUGCU